GACGAACGCUGGCGGCGUGCUUAACACAUGCAAGUCGAACGGUGAAGCGCCUUCCUUUUUGGUGGGUGUGGAUGAGUGGCGAACGGGUGAGUAACACGUGAGUAACCUGCCCCCUUCUUCUGGAUAACCGCAUGAAAGUGUGGCUAAUACGGGAUAUUCUGGGUCUGUCGCAUGAUGGGUCUGGGAAAGAUAUUGUUUCGGUGGGGGAUGGGCUCGCGGCCUAUCAGCUUGUUGGUGGGGUGAUGGCCUACCAAGGCGGUGACGGGUAGCCGGCCUGAGAGGGUGGACGUUCACACUGGGACUGAGACACGGCCCAGACUCCUACGGGAGGCAGCAGUGGGGAAUAUUGCACAAUGGGCGCAAGCCUGAUGCAGCGACGCCGCGUGAGGGAUGGAGGCCUUCGGGUUGUGAACCUCUUUCGCCAGUGAAGCAGGCCUGCCUCGUUUGUGGGUGGGUUGACGGUAGCUGGAGAAGAAGCGCCGGCUAACUACGUG
This 494-nucleotide ribosomal RNA is filed under the name uncultured bacterium. RNAcentral's name for it is "partial 16S ribosomal RNA". It matches the Rfam family "Bacterial small subunit ribosomal RNA", at positions 28 to 507 of the family's 1533-position model. The record is from RNAcentral.